UCAUAUAUCUUGCUAUCACUUAGUUGUUUAUCUUGCUUAGCAUAAGUUGUUGGUGCACAUAGCUGAGCCUAGUUGUUGUAGGUUUUGUGCUUGACAAAUUAAACGUUAGUUUUAUUCCGCAUUUGUUCAAGCCUAAACUGUAAUUAUUUUAAAGCGCCUAUUCACCCCCCUCUAGGCGAUAUCCACGUCCUUUCAGCAAGUCUAUUCUUUCGCGAUCCCAUCCGGAGGCCUUUUCCGAUACUCUGCGGAAGGGGGAAUCCAUCACGGAGCCCAUCUUCACCAACCUUGCUGCCUCCCACAUGAUGUGUGAGUAGUCCCUAGAGGACCUACAUGUCCAUAAC
Molecule: long non-coding RNA, 341 nt
Filed under: Hordeum vulgare
Lineage: Eukaryota; Viridiplantae; Streptophyta; Magnoliopsida; Poales; Poaceae
Description: long non-coding RNA (HVUL_LNC007289)
Source: RNAcentral